GGGGGUUUAGCUCAGUUGGUAGAGCGCCUGCUUUGCAAGCAGGRUGUCAACGGUUCGAGUCCGUUAACCUCCA
RNAcentral lists this transfer RNA (73 nucleotides) under Pegethrix sp. ANT.LMA.1. RNAcentral's name for it is "tRNA-Ala". It matches the Rfam family "tRNA". From Rfam's summary of the family: Transfer RNA (tRNA) molecules are approximately 80 nucleotides in length. Their secondary structure includes four short double-helical elements and three loops (D, anti-codon, and T loops). Further hydrogen bonds mediate the characteristic L-shaped molecular structure. tRNAs have two regions of fundamental functional importance: the anti-codon, which is responsible for specific mRNA codon recognition, and the 3' end, to which the tRNAs corresponding amino acid is attached (by aminoacyl-tRNA synthetases). tRNAs cope with the degeneracy of the genetic code in two manners: having more than one tRNA (with a specific anti-codon) for a particular amino acid; and 'wobble' base-pairing, i.e. permitting non-standard base-pairing at the 3rd anti-codon position. The record is from RNAcentral. Lineage: Bacteria; Bacillati; Cyanobacteriota; Cyanophyceae; Oculatellales; Oculatellaceae.